AGGGAUUUAGCUUAAUGGCAAAGUGCCUGCCUCGCAAGCACAAGGUCCUGAGUUCAAUCCCUG
Molecule: transfer RNA, 63 nt
Filed under: Heterocephalus glaber (naked mole-rat)
Lineage: Eukaryota; Metazoa; Chordata; Mammalia; Rodentia; Bathyergidae
Rfam family: tRNA
About the family: Transfer RNA (tRNA) molecules are approximately 80 nucleotides in length. Their secondary structure includes four short double-helical elements and three loops (D, anti-codon, and T loops).
Source: Rfam by way of RNAcentral